Molecule: non-coding RNA, 245 nt
Organism: Tubulinosema ratisbonensis
Lineage: Eukaryota; Fungi; Microsporidia; Tubulinosematidae
Source: the annotation of a GenBank genome assembly
UUGCCAGAGAGUAGUCUGAAUUCAGUUACAGUUCACAAACUGUCUUUCGUAUUUGACUAUUCUUUAAGCUGCACAUCUUCACUUUCCCAAUCUUAUUACCAUCAUCCCAUUUCAGUCAGGUAGCAAGAGAAUUUCUGUUAAGGAAGAUAUAGGUUUAACUAAUGGCUUCUCGCCAACGUGCAUUCUCAGACCUUCCUAAGAGUAAGAUACUCCUUACGAAAGCUUCUGGCUAACAAGGGUAAAAA